UGCGUAAAGUUUUCUACCGUUAGAAAGCCGCUUGUCUAUUUGCAUGUAUAUGAUAGCAUAAAAUAACGAGUGCAUAUGAAUUUUACAGUCAUUAGUCAAAUAGAUCUAUAUAUAUAUAUAUAUUUUAGCGUUAUUAGUCUUAAAUAAUCAGUACCUAUAACUAAAAUAUGUGCCAUCAUUUAUGCUUUUUUAUUUUAAUAUUCCUUUUCUUACCACUAUACUAAAAUAGCUUAUAUUAUAAAACUGUUCUGUAUUAUUUUCUGUUUGAUUACAUUAAUUCAUCGUUUUGUUGCUCAUUGUCAGACCUUCUCAUGAUACAUAGAAAUUUUUCACAUUUAGCCUAUUCCAACCCUGAGUUUUGUUUUCUUUUCAAAUCUGUAGCUAAUAAAGCAAGAAAAUGUGUUUAAAAAAAUACAUUUUUGUUAAAAAUUAAAAAAAUACAACCCGUAUAUUCACGGGAGCAUACGGGCCGAUUUCUUUUUAAGACAGACAGGAACAUGGGCAGGAUGUUUAUACUGUCAAAUGUAAACAUUUUCUCUAGCCUUCUUUAAAUAAAAAAUCAAGCAAAAAGCACCACAAGAGCCGCUAAUACCCAUUCUGGGGCUAUGCGUCCGUUUUAUGCGGCGCAAACUAUUUGUGAAUCUUUGUUUUAACAUAAAUGUGGAGAUGAAGCCGUAGACAAUUCUGUCUACUUUCUUUUUAAAAAAAUGCUGCCUCGGACCUGCACUUGCUUUGAGAAACUUUGCUAUAUGAAGACGGCUAAUCGAUCUCUCUUGCUGCUCCUCAGACCUGAUCCUGCAGAGCUUGGAGGAAGUGCAGGUAUGUGAAGUACCAGCACCAGGUUACAGCAUCAGGUCACGCUUCGGACCAUUGACCCUUGAUCCCAGCGUCUGUUUAUGUCUCGUGAUUGAUUGGAUAAAUAGUGAUGAGUCAUAUCCCCAAGUGUGUUUAUAUUACAGAGUCACGCAAGGAAGGAAAAGAGCUAUGACCUGCUAAAAGCCAGUGUGAGACAGAAAGAGAGCGAGGUUAUUAAAAUGCUACCUGUUAUUGUUAAUGUUCAUGUUAAUGUUCAUGUUUUUACACCAUCUACUCAACGAUAAAGAUAUUACUGCAUUAGAAGGGAACAUGUAACCGAAUAUGAAUAAAUAUAUCUCCUUCUGCA
Long non-coding RNA from Ictalurus punctatus (channel catfish), 1162 nucleotides. RefSeq lists it as uncharacterized. The record is from RefSeq and is a predicted model, not a curated record. NCBI's taxonomy places the organism in Eukaryota, Metazoa, Chordata, Actinopteri, Siluriformes, Ictaluridae. The transcript has 2 exons.